AGAGUUUGAUCAUGGCUCAGAUUGAACGCUGGCGGCAGGCCUAACACAUGCAAGUCGAACGGUAACAGGAAGAAGCUUGCUUCUUUGCUGACGAGUGGCGGACGGGUGAGUAAUGUCUGGGAAACUGCCUGAUGGAGGGGGAUAACUACUGGAAACGGUAGCUAAUACCGCAUAACGUCGCAAGACCAAAGAGGGGGACCUUCGGGCCUCUUGCCAUCGGAUGUGCCCAGAUGGGAUUAGCUAGUAGGUGGGGUAACGGCUCACCUAGGCGACGAUCCCUAGCUGGUCUGAGAGGAUGACCAGCCACACUGGAACUGAGACACGGUCCAGACUCCUACGGGAGGCAGCAGUGGGGAAUAUUGCACAAUGGGCGCAAGCCUGAUGCAGCCAUGCCGCGUGUAUGAAGAAGGCCUUCGGGUUGUAAAGUACUUUCAGCGGGGAGGAAGGGAGUAAAGUUAAUACCUUUGCUCAUUGACGUUACCCGCAGAGGAAGCACCGGCUAACUCCGUGCCAGCAGCCGCGGUAAUACGGAGGGUGCAAGCGUUAAUCGGAAUUACUGGGCGUAAAGCGCACGCAGGCGGUUUGUUAAGUCAGAUGUGAAAUCCCCGGGCUCAACCUGGGAACUGCAUCUGAUACUGGCAAGCUUGAGUCUCGUAGAGGGGGGUAGAAUUCCAGGUGUAGCGGUGAAAUGCGUAGAGAUCUGGAGGAAUACCGGUGGCGAAGGCGGCCCCCUGGACGAAGACUGACGCUCAGGUGCGAAAGCGUGGGGAGCAAACAGGAUUAGAUACCCUGGUAGUCCACGCCGUAAACGAUGUCGACUUGGAGGUUGUGCCCUUGAGGCGUGGCUUCCGGAGCUAACGCGUUAAGUCGACCGCCUGGGGAGUACGGCCGCAAGGUUAAAACUCAAAUGAAUUGACGGGGGCCCGCACAAGCGGUGGAGCAUGUGGUUUAAUUCGAUGCAACGCGAAGAACCUUACCUGGUCUUGACAUCCACGGAAGUUUUCAGAGAUGAGAAUGUGCCUUCGGGAACCGUGAGACAGGUGCUGCAUGGCUGUCGUCAGCUCGUGUUGUGAAAUGUUGGGUUAAGUCCCGCAACGAGCGCAACCCUUAUCCUUUGUUGCCAGCGGUCCGGCCGGGAACUCAAAGGAGACUGCCAGUGAUAAACUGGAGGAAGGUGGGGAUGACGUCAAGUCAUCAUGGCCCUUACGACCAGGGCUACACACGUGCUACAAUGGCGCAUACAAAGAGAAGCGACCUCGCGAGAGCAAGCGGACCUCAUAAAGUGCGUCGUAGUCCGGAUUGGAGUCUGCAACUCGACUCCAUGAAGUCGGAAUCGCUAGUAAUCGUGGAUCAGAAUGCCACGGUGAAUACGUUCCCGGGCCUUGUACACACCGCCCGUCACACCAUGGGAGUGGGUUGCAAAAGAAGUAGGUAGCUUAACCUUCGGGAGGGCGCUUACCACUUUGUGAUUCAUGACUGGGGUGAAGUCGUAACAAGGUA
This 1500-nucleotide ribosomal RNA is filed under the name metagenome. RNAcentral describes it as "bacterial SSU rRNA". It matches the Rfam family "Bacterial small subunit ribosomal RNA". The record is from RNAcentral.